CGUGUAGGCGGUCAGGUAAGUGGAAUGUGAAAUGCCCCGGCUCACCCGGGGACCGGCAUCCCAAACUGCCUGGCUUGAGUAUGGGAGAGGGAUGGAGGAAUUCCUGGUGUAGCGGUGAAAUGCGUAGAUAUCAGGAGGAACACCGGUGGCGAAGGCGUCCAUCUGGCCCAAUACUGACGCUGAGGCGCGAAAGCUAGGGGGAGCAAACGG
This 210-nucleotide ribosomal RNA is filed under the name uncultured Latescibacterota bacterium. RNAcentral's name for it is "uncultured Latescibacteria bacterium partial 16S ribosomal RNA". It matches the Rfam family "Bacterial small subunit ribosomal RNA", at positions 568 to 775 of the family's 1533-position model. Lineage: Bacteria; Pseudomonadati; Candidatus Latescibacterota. The record is from RNAcentral.